GACGAACGCUGGCGGCGUGCCUAAUACAUGCAAGUCGAGCGCAGGAAGUCAUCCGAACCCUUCGGGGGGACGUUGACGGAAUGAGCGGCGGACGGGUGAGUAACACGUAAAGAACCUGCCCUCAGGUCUGGGAUAACCACGAGAAAUCGGGGCUAAUACCGGAUGGGUCAUCGGACCGCAUGGUCCGAGGAUGAAAGGCGCUUCGGCGUCGCCUGGGGAUGGCUUUGCGGUGCAUUAGCUAGUUGGUGGGGUAACGGCCCACCAAGGCGACGAUGCAUAGCCGACCUGAGAGGGUGAUCGGCCACACUGGGACUGAGACACGGCCCAGACUCCUACGGGAGGCAGCAGUAGGGAAUCUUCCACAAUGGACGAAAGUCUGAUGGAGCAACGCCGCGUGAACGAUGAAGGCCUUCGGGUCGUAAAGUUCUGUUGUAAGGGAAGAACAAGUGCCGCAGGCAAUGGCGGC
Molecule: ribosomal RNA, 466 nt
Filed under: Bacillus sp. oral taxon B77
Lineage: Bacteria; Bacillati; Bacillota; Bacilli; Caryophanales; Bacillaceae
Description: bacterial SSU rRNA
Rfam family: Bacterial small subunit ribosomal RNA
Source: RNAcentral